Molecule: ribosomal RNA, 476 nt
Filed under: uncultured bacterium
Lineage: Bacteria
Description: partial 16S ribosomal RNA
Rfam family: Bacterial small subunit ribosomal RNA
Source: RNAcentral
UAGGGAAUCUUCGGCAAUGGGGGCAACCCUGACCGAGCAACGCCGCGUGAGUGAAGAAGGUUUUCGGAUCGUAAAGCUCUGUUGUAAGUCAAGAACGGGUGUGAGAGUGGAAAGUUCACACCGUGACGGUAGCUUACCAGAAAGGGACGGCUAACUACGUGCCAGCAGCCGCGGUAAUACGUAGGUCCCGAGCGUUGUCCGGAUUUAUUGGGCGUAAAGCGAGCGCAGGCGGUUUGAUAAGUCUGAAGUUAAAGGCUGUGGCUCAACCACAGUUCGCUUUGGAAACUGUCAAACUUGAGUGCAGAAGGGGAGAGUGGAAUUCCAUGUGUAGCGGUGAAAUGCGUAGAUAUAUGGAGGAACACCGGUGGCGAAAGCGGCUCUCUGGUCUGUAACUGACGCUGAGGCUCGAAAGCGUGGGGAGCGAACAGGAUUAGAUACCCUGGUAGUCCACGCCGUAAACGAUGAGUGCUAGGUGU